CCUACGGGUGUCUGCAGUGGGGAAUAUUGCACAAUGGGGGAAACCCUGAUGCAGCGACGCCGCGUGAGUGAAGAAGUAUUUCGGUAUGUAAAUCUCUAUCAGCAGGGAAGUAAAUGACGGUCCCUGUUUAAGAAGCCCCGUCUAACUACGUGACAGCAGCCGCGGUAAUACGUAGGCGGCAAGCGUUAUCCGGAUUUACUGGGUGUAAAGGGAGCGUAGACGGCAGGACAAGUCUGGAGUUAAAUGCCGGGGCUUAACCCCGGAACUGCGUUGGAAACUGGGCAGCUAGAGUGCAGGAGAGGUAAGGGGAAUUCCUAGUGUAGCGGGGAAAGGCGUAGAUAUGAGGAGGAACACCAGUGGCGAAGGCAGCUUACUGGACUGUAACUGACGUUGAGGCUCGAAAGCGUGGGGAGCAAACAGGAUUAGAUACCCGUGUAGUC
RNAcentral lists this ribosomal RNA (440 nucleotides) under uncultured bacterium. Its description in RNAcentral is "partial 16S ribosomal RNA". It matches the Rfam family "Bacterial small subunit ribosomal RNA", at positions 338 to 795 of the family's 1533-position model. The record is from RNAcentral.